UAAGGCCAAUGUCGAUGAUUUUGACUUU
RNAcentral lists this non-coding RNA (28 nucleotides) under Rattus norvegicus (Norway rat). Lineage: Eukaryota; Metazoa; Chordata; Mammalia; Rodentia; Muridae. The record is from RNAcentral.